AACGAACGUUAGCGGCGCGCCUAACACAUGCAAGUCGAGCGAGAAAGGGAGCAAUCCCCGGUACAGCGGCGCACGGGUGAGUAACACGUAGGUAACCAACCUCCGAGUGGUGGAUAACCUUCCGAAAGGAGGGCUAAUACAGCAUAAGCCCACGAUUCCGAGAGGAGUUGAGGGAAAAGCCGGCCAAUCCAUGGAAGCUGGCGCUUGGAGACGGGCCCGCGUCUGAUUAGCUAGUUGGUGAGGUAAAGGCUCACCAAGGCUACGAUCAGUAGCUGGUCUGAGAGGAUGACCAGCCACAUUGGGACUGAGACACGGCCCAAACUCCUACGGGAGGCAGCAGUGGGGAAUCUUGCGCAAUGGGCGAAAGCCUGACGCAGCCAUGCCGCGUGGAUGAUGAAGGUCUUAGGAUUGUAAAAUCCUUUCACCGGUGAAGAUAAUGACUGUAGC
This 447-nucleotide ribosomal RNA is filed under the name uncultured bacterium. RNAcentral describes it as "bacterial SSU rRNA". It matches the Rfam family "Bacterial small subunit ribosomal RNA", at positions 29 to 479 of the family's 1533-position model. The record is from RNAcentral.